AUUGAACGCUGGCGGCAGGCCUAACACAUGCAAGUCGAGCGGAUGAAGGGAGCUUGCUCCUGGAUUCAGCGGCGGACGAGUGAGUAAUGCCUAGGAAUCUGCCUGGUAGUGGGGGAUAACGUCCGGAAACGGGCGCUAAUACCGCAUACGUCCUGAAGGAGAAAGUGGGGGUUCUUCGGACCUCACGCUAUCAGAUGAGCCUAGGUCGGAUUAGCUAGUUGGUGGGGUAAAGGCCUACCAAGGCGACGAUCCGUAACUGGUCUGAGAGGAUGAUCAGUCACACUGGAACUGAGACACGGUCCAGACUCCUACGGGAGGCAGCAGUGGGGAAUAUUGGACAAUGGGCGAAAUCCUGAUCCAGCCAUGCCGCGUGUUUGAAGAAGGUCUUCGGAUUUUAAAGCACUUUGAGUUGGGAGGAAGGGCAGUAAGUUAAUACCUUGCUGUUUUGACGUUACCUACAGAAUAAGCACCGGCUAACCUCGUG
This 484-nucleotide ribosomal RNA is filed under the name uncultured bacterium. RNAcentral describes it as "partial 16S ribosomal RNA". It matches the Rfam family "Bacterial small subunit ribosomal RNA", at positions 30 to 507 of the family's 1533-position model. The record is from RNAcentral.